Rhineura floridana is the source of this 353-nucleotide long non-coding RNA. RefSeq lists it as uncharacterized. NCBI's taxonomy places the organism in Eukaryota, Metazoa, Chordata, Lepidosauria, Squamata, Rhineuridae. The record is from RefSeq and is a predicted model, not a curated record. The transcript has 3 exons.
CAGAGACACUUGAGAGCAGCAGUGUUCGAGUUGCAGUUGCAGCUUUAGGUCUGUCGCAAGUUGAGAAAGAUGUUCUGCAGAACCUUCCUAAAUACUCUAAAAAAUAUAUUGAGUACAGUGUUGAAGUGAGCAUGCCUGAAUAUUUUGAAAUCCCUGAAAAAAUAUAUAUACCUGUGUUGGCAUCAAGCAGAGUUAAUUCUACACACCGCGAAAAACGAGAUAUUUGGUCUUCAGAAGAAAGAGAAGAUGCUGCAGUUGAGCUUUCUAUAAAAUUUAUGCCUCAAUAUCCUGGCCGAUAUCCCUGCCGGAUUUUUCUUCAGUCAAAGUAUGAUGUUCGACUCUUUCAGAUAGAA